This is a small nuclear RNA of Neoarius graeffei (lesser salmon catfish), 160 nucleotides long. RefSeq annotates it as U1 spliceosomal RNA. The transcript has a single exon. The record is from RefSeq and is a predicted model, not a curated record. Lineage: Eukaryota; Metazoa; Chordata; Actinopteri; Siluriformes; Ariidae.
AAACUUACCUGGCAGGGGCAAUACCAUGAUCAAGAUGGUGGUUUGCCCAAAGUGAGGCUCAGCUAUUGCACUUCUGGCUGUGCUGUCCUUUGCAAAUUCCUCAAAUGCAGGAAUCUCGACUGCAUUUUUUUUUUGGGGGGGUGGGUGCAACCAUGGCCUG